RNAcentral lists this ribosomal RNA (497 nucleotides) under uncultured bacterium. Its description in RNAcentral is "partial 16S ribosomal RNA". It matches the Rfam family "Bacterial small subunit ribosomal RNA", at positions 28 to 507 of the family's 1533-position model. The record is from RNAcentral.
GACGAACGCUGGCGGCGUGCCUAAUACAUGCAAGUAGAACGCUGAAGCUUGGUGCUUGCACCGAGCGGAUGAGUUGCGAACGGGUGAGUAACGCGUAGGUAACCUGCCUGGUAGCGGGGGAUAACUAUUGGAAACGAUAGCUAAUACCGCAUAACAGUAGAUAUCGCAUGAUCGCUACUUGAAAGGUGCAAAUGCACCACUACCAGAUGGACCUGCGUUGUAUUAGCUAGUUGGUGAGGUAACGGCUCACCAAGGCAACGAUACAUAGCCGACCUGAGAGGGUGAUCGGCCACACUGGGACUGAGACACGGCCCAGACUCCUACGGGAGGCAGCAGUAGGGAAUCUUCGGCAAUGGACGGAAGUCUGACCGAGCAACGCCGCGUGAGUGAAGAAGGUUUUCGGAUCGUAAAGCUCUGUUGUAAGAGAAGAACGAGUGUGAGAGUGGAAAGUUCACACUGUGACGGUAUCUUACCAGAAAGGGACGGCUAACUACGUG